CCUACGGGUGGCUGCAGUGAGGAAUAUUGGUCAAUGGGCGCGAGCCUGAACCAGCCAAGUAGCGUGAAGGAUGACGGCCCUACGGUUUGUAAACUUCUUUUAUAAAGGAAUAAAGUUAUGCACGUGUGCCUUUUUGUAUGUACUUUAUGAAUAAGCAUCGGCUAACUCCGUGCCAGCAGCCGCGGUAAUACGGAGGAUCCGAGCGUUAUCCGGAUUUAUUGGGUUUAAAGGGUGCGUAGAUUGGUUGUUAAGUCAGUGGUGAAAGUUUGCGGCUCAACCGUAAAAUUGCAAUUGAUACUGGAAGACUUGAGUGUAGUUGAGGUAGGCGGAAUGCGUGGUGUAGCGGUGAAAUGCAUAGAUAUCACGCAGAACUCCGAUUGCGAAGGCAGCUUACUAAGCCACAACUGACACUGAUGCACGAAAGUGUGGGUAUCAAACAGGAUUAGAUACCCCAGUAGUC
Molecule: ribosomal RNA, 460 nt
Filed under: uncultured bacterium
Lineage: Bacteria
Description: partial 16S ribosomal RNA
Rfam family: Bacterial small subunit ribosomal RNA
Source: RNAcentral